GACCCUGAUGAUGGCAGUUUUAUGAUUGGUUGUGAUGGCUGUGAUGAAUGGUUUCACGGAACCUGCGUUGGCAUAAUAGAUGACCCUGGUGAAGUCGAUUGGUUCUGUUCUUCGUGUCACGCUAAGAGAGACAAAGACAGCAAAGACAAGCAAAAGAAGAAGAAAAAGAAGAAGAGUAAGGAGAAGACAAAAUAACGCGUAUAGGUUCAAAAAAUUUCAAAAUGUUAUGAUUUCAUGUGUCAAUCUUGAGAACUUUUGUAAAUAUUACUCUGGAUUGGAUUCAAACCGUUUGACAGGGUGGUGUUCCUUGAGAAUUCUCCUAUAGCAAAUCUGUACAAGGCGAUGUAGAGUUGUAAAUAAACAGUUUAUAGCAAACGA
Orbicella faveolata is the source of this 378-nucleotide long non-coding RNA. The record is from RefSeq and is a predicted model, not a curated record. Lineage: Eukaryota; Metazoa; Cnidaria; Anthozoa; Scleractinia; Merulinidae.